AGGUAUUUAAAUAUUAAAAAAUUAAUAAUAUUUAAUAAAAAAGAUAAAUUAGACAUAAAAUGAUAAAUUAACUCUUGAUGUUUUAAAUUAACUUGAUUAUUUAUGUGAGAUCCAUUUAAAUUUUUUUCACAAGUAUCUUUUAUAGGAAUUUUGUUAUGUCCCUUCUAAUUAGUUGUUAUAAGUCAUUUAAGACAUGUCUGCUUUGCUGUUUCAAUCGUAAUUUUAUUAUAUAGCCCUAAUUAAUUUUUACGAUCAUCGAAGUAUUAAAAAAUUAAUAAUAUUUCAUAAAAGGGGUAAAAUGUACACAAAAUGAUAUGUCAACAUAAAAUAUUUGAUUGACUAUCGAAAUUAUAUUAGUACCACAUAAAUUACGAUGAAACAGAGGAAGAGAUAAAGUAACAUAUAUUGUUUAAAAAUGAGAAGACAUGUAAAUUGAAACAGAGAGAGUAUUAAUAUCUUAUUGAAAAAUUAUGCUAAAAGCAUUAUAAAUCACAUAAUUAACAACUUAAAAAAUAUAAAAUAUCGAUUGACUCUCGAAAUUAUAUCAGUGUUACUUAAAUUGGAAUAGAAGAAAAAUAUUAUAAUUUACAAUAAUUAAAAGUUUAAAUUAUUUUAAUGAUUGAUUAUCUAAAUUAUAUUUGUGUUACAUAACUUAAGAUAAAAAAAAUAACAUAUAUUGGGUCCGUGCCUCCAACGUCUAGUUACUAUAUAUAAGCACUAGUGGAGCGGCUGGAAGCAGGCAACUGACGGUUGACAUGCCUGCUUCCAGCUGACUGCUUGUUCCAUAAUUUUACUAUAUCACCCCUAGUUAAUUAUUAUAUGACAUUUACUUAUUAAAUAAUUAAUACAGUAAUAUUUAAUAAAAAAUAAAAUAGACAUUUAUGACAUGACUGGUUUCAAUUGUAAUUUUACUAUAUCACCUAUAAUUAACUAUUAUGGUUCAUCUAAGUAUUUAAAAAUUGAUAAUAUUUAUUUUGUAAAAGGUGAAAUAAACAUAAAAUGAUAAAUUAAUUCUUGAUGUUUUAAAUUAAUUUGACAUCUUAUGUGAGGCCCACUUAAAAAAAAUUCACAAGUAUUUUUUAUAGCAAUCUUGUUAUAUCACUUUUAAUUAGUUAUUAUGAAUCAUUCAAGACGUUCUGAUUUCGCUAUUUCAAUCGUAAUAUUUGGUUUACUCUUGAAAUUAUAUCAGUGUCGCUUAAAUUAAAAUAGAAAAAAUAUUAUAAAUUACAAUAAUUAAAAACGUAAAUUACUUUUAAAGUCUAAGUUCACUAUCAAUACCGCAAAAGUUUAAACAAGAAGAGUAUUAUAAAUUACAAUAGCAAAUAGCUUAAAAUAGUAAGUUAUAACGUCAAAAAAGCAGUAUAGAUUACAAUAUUUAGAGAUAUCAUAUUAAUUAGGAUAAAAGGAUAUUACUUAAAAAUUACGUAUAAAUUUAAAUUACAAUAAUUAAAAAUUUAAAUUACUUUUAAAGUCUAAAUUCACUAAUAAUACCACAAAAGUUUAAACAAGAAUAGUAUUAUAAAUUACAAUAGCACAUAGCUUAAAAUAGUAAAUUACAACGUCGAAAAAGCAUUAUAGAUUACAAUAGUUAUCGAUGUCAUAUUAAUUAGUAUAAAGGGAUAUUACUUGAAAAUUACGUUGAAAGUAGUAUAAAUCAUAAUAUAAUUAACAACUUAAAAUAUCUAAAACUAUUAUAUAUAACAAAUCUAAUUGACUUUCACAAAUAUUUCAUCAGUGUCAUAUAUAUUUAGACAAAAAAUAAAAUAUAAUAU
Molecule: long non-coding RNA, 1772 nt
Filed under: Capsicum annuum
Lineage: Eukaryota; Viridiplantae; Streptophyta; Magnoliopsida; Solanales; Solanaceae
Description: long non-coding RNA (CANN_LNC021579)
Source: RNAcentral